CAGUAGCCACGGGAAAACGUAUGUCACAAGCGUUAUCCGGAUUUAUUGGGCGUAAAGCGCGUCUAGGUGGUUAUGUAAGUCUGAUGUGAAAAUGCAGGGCUCAACUCUGUAUUGCGUUGGAAACUGUGUAACUAGAGUACUGGAGAGGUAAGCGGAACUACAAGUGUAGAGGUGAAAUUCGUAGAUAUUUGUAGGAAUGCCGAUGGGGAAGCCAGCUUACUGGACAGAUACUGACGCUAAAGCGCGAAAGCGUGGGUAGCAAACAGGAUUAGAUACCCCCGUAGUCCCUGUCUCUUAUACC
Molecule: ribosomal RNA, 301 nt
Filed under: uncultured bacterium
Lineage: Bacteria
Description: partial 16S ribosomal RNA
Rfam family: Bacterial small subunit ribosomal RNA
Source: RNAcentral